AAAACAAGUGAAACUCCAAAAAUCGAUAACAUUUUUAUUUAUCUACGUUUCGACUAUAUUUCAGUCAUCAUCAGGAUAAACUAGCUAGGUUAUAUAUCAAAAGCGGUAUUUAUAUGAAGAAAUAUGAUACAAUAGUUAGGUUGAUUAAUGAAAUAUGAUUAGUUCUUUAGAAGCUUUAAGUCCAUGAUUAAGUUCAGGUUUAUAUCUUUGAAUAGCGAGGGAUUCUUGAUAUAGUAAAAGGGACCAAUGGUUAGAUUUAUCAAUUAUUUUAGUGUUGUUGAAAACAUGUUCAGCCAUUAUACUGGUUUGAUCAGACUUUGCGUCAUCGUCGGGAUAAAGUUCUAAAAGGGCUUUAAUAUGUUGAAACUGCUCGCAAGUAGAGAGGUGUUGAUGGAUUACAGAUUCUGUGUGAUAUGAAUGUUCCUUAGUUCUGGAAUGUUUCUUAGAUCAUAUUUCUUCAUAUAAAUGCCGCUUUUGAUAUAUAAC
Molecule: non-coding RNA, 486 nt
Organism: Paramuricea clavata
Lineage: Eukaryota; Metazoa; Cnidaria; Anthozoa; Malacalcyonacea; Plexauridae
Source: the annotation of a GenBank genome assembly